GCCUGAUUUAUGUAAUCUCAUCCUGAAAAUUAUCCAGCUAACUACGUUAGCCAGGUACGAGAAAUAGGGCCCUGCUCUUUGUAACCGGACUUCCGGUUUGAAAACAGCGUCCAGUAGUUUCCGGUGUCGCUCGUGCUCAUCUUUUAAACUAGAAGGUUCCUCCUCGUACUCUGCUGUCGUUCCUUCAAACAGACCAAACAUCUCUUCAGUCAGUCGCUGGAUGACUAAACAUCUCAGCUUUUGGACUUUAGACACUUUCAAUAACUCACGGAAACGUUUCCUCGAGACAAACUCGGGUCCGUCUGCUCCCUGUCGGUGUGCGAGAUUAACUGGUUUUGAAUUAACUGUUUUUUUGUUUACAUCCGUGAGGCCGACGUGUUGUAGGAGCGGCCUCUCAGGACCCACGGUGACUAACUAGGAAAUACACAUUUCCAUCGUUUAGCCUCUGUCACGUUCUUUGUAUGGUAUGUUGUUAAAGACUAAACACGGAUGACUUUGCGGUCAAAUACACGACCUGUUCGGGAGGCUGUGGUUGGUUCAUACGCCGAGGACACGGAGCGAGGACGAGAGUAAAGGACAAAGCCACAAUACCUUGAUCUCCUCACUACUGUGAAAGAAAGACAGCACUCUGGACAGCUCCCCACACUGCAGCAGCUCUCAACAGCUGGAUCAGCACCUUGGAGAGCGCCGGGUUGAAACAACCAAGAGGGGUGCGUCCCCUAUAUUGCUCCAGUGUUACGCUGAAUACCUACAGAGACUGUAAACGCAAUACCAGAUGCCAAGGAUGCAAUUCAAGAUGACACAAAUAGGCUAAACACACGCUGCACAGCACCCACAUCGGCCAUAACAGUGAGGCCGCUCGCACAAUAACUACAUAACAAGUAUGCCAUGCAAUACGAAGCCGGGUCCACCCGCCUUGCUCUAUCUUACCCAACACACAGGGAACUGGCUAGACAACUUUGACCUCACCUUGAAUUAGAAUGGACCACAAUGGUCUUGGCUAAGUGGAACAGGUGCGUGUUAGAGCAAAUCAUCAUUAGCCCCGGCUGAGGCCAAUUAGGCCUCCACCUGGUACCGAGGUGCACUCCCCCAUUCCCCUCUGCAGCUGAGCCUAACCACGCCCUGCCACCACACUAGGCUUCUUUCCUAAGCCGUGCUGGUGUCCCAGAAGACUACAGACAAUGUCCUGCUUUAAUGCGGGAGCUCAGUCUUGCCAGUGUUUCUCAGUGACGUGCCCUGUUUCCAGUCUCUAAACUUCCCCACAGCCUCCAUGGAUGGUUCCCUGAGCGGUUUAGCUUGGCUGUACUUCUUAACAUCUUAACAUCAAUGAGUGAUACAAAGUCAAGGCUCUCCUGGCAAAAAGCGCUUAUCUCGAGCCUUCAGCUUUUGUAGAAAGUUGGACGCUUGGUUAUAAAAGUCGUACAAGCAAGGUUUAUUUUGCCCCUACUUUCUGACAGCUUCACAUCUUUAAAAGGUUCAGCCUUCUCCAAACAUUUCCAACCAGCUGUCUUUUUGACUGUCAAAACAUCGAUGCUUUGGUGGAAGUGGAGACUUGAUUCUGAGUGUCGUGUCUCGUGUCUGCAGCUUGAGAGACGGACCGUGAAGUUCACACAGGAUGUCUUUUUGCUUGACAGCCAAAUCUUCCAAAACUCUUGAGUUGGUUUGGCGUUUACGAAGCCCUUUGUAUGUUUGCCUCUUGAAAUCAGAGCAGCGAAAUCUCUCCAUUCAUCGUCUUUCUUAUCAUAGCUACUGGAGUCCCAUCUGAUGGUGAAAAUAUGAUCACAUCUUUUAAUAUUUGCACGUUGAGCUCAGCCGCUGCUUCCUGAAGCUCAUUUCUGGUUGACUGGUGAUGGAAUGAGUAUAACUUUGAAAUAAAGGACAAAGUGAUUACAGCCAGACACCUCUCUGAUUGCCAGUGCACAGACUGCAUGUUCCAAAAGUCGUGAGUCAAUUAGUCCACUGGUUUUCCUGGUGAGCUCCAUCGGUGACGCUGCUUUUGAGCCCUUCAUCCCUUCCUGCAUUAUGUAGAUUCCCCUCCAUAGAGCUAUAAAUAGAUCCAUCAUUGAACCCCAUUAGUAGGCUCCACUAUAUCCAGGAAAACAUCUACAUCCCAUAUAGCAUACAUAAUUAGAUAGGGACACCAGUGAGCCGGGCUCUCAUCCUUUGGGAUACUUUGGCCAGUUAAUACUGUGCAGACAUGGUCUGAUUUGUGUAUAUUUUGUAUAUAUUUCUCCUGCAUUUACAUGAGCGGCUUAGGCUAUUUAUUUGAUGGCCUUUCCUUUGCCACUGUGUACGUGGUUCUAAAGGAUAUUCUUGUUUUCUGUAAGUAAGUAAGAAAUAAAAAAGUGAAGCUGUCACUGUGGCUUUUUCUAUUGACCUUG
Molecule: long non-coding RNA, 2381 nt
Organism: Cyclopterus lumpus (lumpfish)
Lineage: Eukaryota; Metazoa; Chordata; Actinopteri; Perciformes; Cyclopteridae
Exons: 2
Source: RefSeq, a predicted model, not a curated record